RNAcentral lists this ribosomal RNA (354 nucleotides) under Triticum aestivum (bread wheat). Its description in RNAcentral is "partial small subunit ribosomal RNA". The record is from RNAcentral. Lineage: Eukaryota; Viridiplantae; Streptophyta; Magnoliopsida; Poales; Poaceae.
AUGAGUGUGCCCAGAAAAUUUGAAAAACAGUUUCAUGGAUUGCUAUCAGAAGGAUCUGUCUACAUUAUUGCAGAUAUUGUAGCUAUUGAUAACAGAAGCAAAUCAUAUGCCUACCACCAUCAGAACUACAUGCUGCAAUUCAAACAUGACACAAAGGUCCAUGCAUUGCACUCAAGAGGAGCAAAUAUACCUAUUGUUUCCUUCAACUUUUGUCCAUUUGAUCAACUGCCAAGAAAAGCAAUUGAUUCAAAACCACUCCUAGAUAUUAUUGGAGUAAUAAGUGAUGUUGGUCCAUACGAUUAUGCUAGCCCAACAUCUCAGAACAAACUUCAGAAGAAAAAAAUCGAAACCUAG